UACGUAGGACGCAAGCGUUGUCCGGAAUUAUUGGGCGUAAAGAGCUCGUAGGCGGUUUGUCACGUCUGCUGUGAAAAUCCGAGGCUCAACCUCGGACCUGCAGUGGGUACGGGCAGACUAGAGUGUGGUAGGGGAGACUGGAAUUCCUGGUGUAGCGGUGGAAUGCGCAGAUAUCAGGAGGAACACCAAUGGCGAAGGCAGGUCUCUGGGCCACAACUGACGCUGAGGAGCGAAAGCGUGGGGAGCGAACAGG
This 253-nucleotide ribosomal RNA is filed under the name uncultured prokaryote. Its description in RNAcentral is "partial 16S ribosomal RNA". It matches the Rfam family "Bacterial small subunit ribosomal RNA", at positions 524 to 776 of the family's 1533-position model. The record is from RNAcentral.